This 394-nucleotide ribosomal RNA is filed under the name uncultured bacterium. RNAcentral's name for it is "partial 16S ribosomal RNA". It matches the Rfam family "Bacterial small subunit ribosomal RNA", at positions 338 to 729 of the family's 1533-position model. The record is from RNAcentral.
CCUACGGGUGGCAGCAGUGAGGAAUAUUGGUCAAUGGGCGCGAGCCUGAACCAGCCAAGUAGCGUGAAGGAUGACUGCCCUACGUGUUGUAAACUUCUUUUAUAAAGGAAUAAAGUGAGGCACGUGUGCCUUUUUGUAUGUACUUUAUGAAUAAGGAUCGGCUAACUCCGUGCCAGCAGCCGCGGUAAUACGGAGGAUCCGAGCGUUAUCCGGAUUUAUUGGGUUUAAAGGGUGCGUAGGUGGGCUGGUAAGUCAGCUGUGAAAGCCCGCGGCUCAACCGCAGGAGAGCAUUUGAUACUGGCAGUCUUGAGUAGGCGAGAAGUACGCGGAAUGCGCGGUGUAGCGGUGAAAUGCUUAGAUAUCGCGCAGAACCCCGAUUGCGAAGGCAGCGUAC